RNAcentral lists this ribosomal RNA (1514 nucleotides) under Lactiplantibacillus plantarum. Its description in RNAcentral is "Lactobacillus plantarum 16S ribosomal RNA". It matches the Rfam family "Bacterial small subunit ribosomal RNA". The record is from RNAcentral. Lineage: Bacteria; Bacillati; Bacillota; Bacilli; Lactobacillales; Lactobacillaceae.
GACGAACGCUGSCGGCGUGCCUAAUACAUGCAAGUCGAACGAACUCUGGUAUUGAUUGGUGCUUGCAUCAUGAUUUACAUUUGAGUGAGUGGCGAACUGGUGAGUAACACGUGGGAAACCUGCCCAGAAGCGGGGGAUAACACCUGGAAACAGAUGCUAAUACCGCAUAACAACUUGGACCGCAUGGUCCGAGCUUGAAAGAUGGCUUCGGCUAUCACUUUUGGAUGGUCCCGCGGCGUAUUAGCUAGAUGGUGGGGUAACGGCUCACCAUGGCAAUGAUACGUAGCCGACCUGAGAGGGUAAUCGGCCACAUUGGGACUGAGACACGGCCCAAACUCCUACGGGAGGCAGCAGUAGGGAAUCUUCCACAAUGGACGAAAGUCUGAUGGAGCAACGCCGCGUGAGUGAAGAAGGGUUUCGGCUCGUAAAACUCUGUUGUUAAAGAAGAACAUAUCUGAGAGUAACUGUUCAGGUAUUGACGGUAUUUAACCAGAAAGCCACGGCUAACUACGUGCCAGCAGCCGCGGUAAUACGUAGGUGGCAAGCGUUGUCCGGAUUUAUUGGGCGUAAAGCGAGCGCAGGCGGUUUUUUAAGUCUGAUGUGAAAGCCUUCGGCUCAACCGAAGAAGUGCAUCGGAAACUGGGAAACUUGAGUGCAGAAGAGGACAGUGGAACUCCAUGUGUAGCGGUGAAAUGCGUAGAUAUAUGGAAGAACACCAGUGGCGAAGGCGGCUGUCUGGUCUGUAACUGACGCUGAGGCUCGAAAGUAUGGGUAGCAAACAGGAUUAGAUACCCUGGUAGUCCAUACCGUAAACGAUGAAUGCUAAGUGUUGGAGGGUUUCCGCCCUUCAGUGCUGCAGCUAACGCAUUAAGCAUUCCGCCUGGGGAGUACGGCCGCAAGGCUGAAACUCAAAGGAAUUGACGGGGGCCCGCACAAGCGGUGGAGCAUGUGGUUUAAUUCGAAGCUACGCGAAGAACCUUACCAGGUCUUGACAUACUAUGCAAAUCUAAGAGAUUAGACGUUCCCUUCGGGGACAUGGAUACAGGUGGUGCAUGGUUGUCGUCAGCUCGUGUCGUGAGAUGUUGGGUUAAGUCCCGCAACGAGCGCAACCCUUAUUAUCAGUUGCCAGCAUUAAGUUGGGCACUCUGGUGAGACUGCCGGUGACAAACCGGAGGAAGGUGGGGAUGACGUCAAAUCAUCAUGCCCCUUAUGACCUGGGCUACACACGUGCUACAAUGGAUGGUACAACGAGUUGCGAACUCGCGAGAGUAAGCUAAUCUCUUAAAGCCAUUCUCAGUUCGGAUUGUAGGCUGCAACUCGCCUACAUGAAGUCGGAAUCGCUAGUAAUCGCGGAUCAGCAUGCCGCGGUGAAUACGUUCCCGGGCCUUGUACACACCGCCCGUCACACCAUGAGAGUUUGUAACACCCAAAGUCGGUGGGGUAACCUUUUAGGAACCAGCCGCCUAAGGUGGGACAGAUGAUUAGGGUGAAGUCGUAACAAGGUAGCCGUAGGG